Molecule: small RNA, 343 nt
Filed under: Histoplasma capsulatum
Lineage: Eukaryota; Fungi; Ascomycota; Eurotiomycetes; Onygenales; Ajellomycetaceae
Also listed under: 1 other name
Description: hypothetical RNA
Source: RNAcentral
AUCUGGCCAUGGUGGAAUACCGGUGAUGACGUCUGUUGCUUGGAUCUGCUCACUACCUAGAAAGGCUUGACUGUUCAAUUAGGGUUUCAAUGUUUGGAAGCUUCCCUGAUUUGGGGAGGGUUUCCUAGCGGUUCUGCCCCUGUGCGACGGCCAUUCCAGCUCAAGGAGCCAGAACGAGCUGGGCAUCGGAUCGAGAGGCGUCUCCAGUGAAUAGCCGCAGUGGUCUGUGAGAGCUAGAGUAGAAGAAAGGGCCGGGGAUGCGUGCAAGAUAAAGGAGUUGAAGGGGGGUGUUUUAUCACAUUGGGGCGCCAAACCCAAAAAGGCACAACUAUCUUAACUAACC